This 90-nucleotide microRNA precursor is filed under the name Pelodiscus sinensis (Chinese soft-shelled turtle). RNAcentral describes it as "miRNA (ENSPSIG00000019504.1)". The stretch from base 7 to 79 matches the Rfam family "mir-10 microRNA precursor family". Rfam says of the family: In this case the mature sequence comes from the 5' arm of the precursor. The extents of the hairpin precursors are not generally known and are estimated based on hairpin prediction. The products are thought to have regulatory roles through complementarity to mRNA. The record is from RNAcentral. Lineage: Eukaryota; Metazoa; Chordata; Testudines; Trionychidae.
AGUCGUCUAUAUGGACCCUGUAGAAUCGAAUUUGUGUGAAUAUCUGAGUCACAAAUUCGUCUCUAGGGGAGUAUAUGGACGAUGCCAGAG